RNAcentral lists this ribosomal RNA (292 nucleotides) under uncultured bacterium. RNAcentral describes it as "partial 16S ribosomal RNA". It matches the Rfam family "Bacterial small subunit ribosomal RNA", at positions 505 to 796 of the family's 1533-position model. The record is from RNAcentral.
GUGUCAGCAGCCGCGGUAAUACGAACUGUGCGAACGUUAUUCGGAAUCACUGGGCUUACAGGGUGCGUAGGCGGCUUAGCAAGUCAGGUGUGAAAGCCCCCGGCUCAACCGGGGAACUGCGCUUGAAACUGCUGAGCUCGAGUCAACUAGAGGUGCACGGAACUUCCAGUGGAGCGGUGAAAUGUGUUGAUAUUGGAAGGAACACCGGAGGCGAAAGCGGUGCACUGGGGUUGGUCUGACGCUGAGGCACGAAAGCCAGGGGAGCGAACGGGAUUAGAAACCCUAGUAGUCC